AUGAACGCUGGCGGCGUGCCUAAUACAUGCAAGUCGAGCGAACGGACGAGAAGCUUGCUUCUCUGAUGUUAGCGGCGGACGGGUGAGUAACACGUGGAUAACCUACCUAUAAGACUGGGAUAACUUCGGGAAACCGGAGCUAAUACCGGAUAAUAUUUUGAACCGCAUGGUUCCAAAGUGAAAGACGGUCUUGCUGUCACUUAUAGAUGGAUCCGCGCUGCAUUAGCUAGUUGGUAAGGUAACGGCUUACCAAGGCAACGAUGCAUAGCCGACCUGAGAGGGUGAUCGGCCACACUGGAACUGAGACACGGUCCAGACUCCUAAGGGAGGCAGCAGUAGGGAAUCUUCCGCAAUGGGCGAAAGCCUGACGGAGCAACGCCGCGUGAGUGAUGAAGGUCUUCGGAUCGUAAAACUCUGUUAUUAGGGAAGAACAUAUGUGUAAGUAACUGUGCACAUCUUGACGGUACCUAAUCAGAAAGCCACGGCUAACUACGUG
Molecule: ribosomal RNA, 496 nt
Filed under: uncultured bacterium
Lineage: Bacteria
Description: partial 16S ribosomal RNA
Rfam family: Bacterial small subunit ribosomal RNA
Source: RNAcentral